CUCCUACGGGAGGCAGCAGUGAGGAAUAUUGGUCAAUGGACGAGAGUCUGAACCAGCCAAGUAGCGUGAAGGAUGAAGGUUCUAUGGAUUGUAAACUUCUUUUAUACGGGAAUAAACGAAUCCACGCGUGGAUUUUUGCAUGUACCGUAUGAAUAAGGAUCGGCUAACUCCGUGCCAGCAGCCGCGGUAAUACGGAGGAUCCGAGCGUUAUCCGGAUUUAUUGGGUUUAAAGGGAGCGUAGAUGGGUUGUUAAGUCAGUUGUGAAAGUUUGCGGCUCAACCGUAAAAUUGCAAUUGAUACUGGCAGUCUUGAGUACAGUUGAGGUAGGCGGAAUUCGUGGUGUAGCGGUGAAAUGCUUAGAUAUCACGAAGAACUCCGAUUGCGAAGGCAGCUUACUAACCUGUAACUGACAUUGAUGCUCGAAAGUGUGGGUAUCAAACAGGAUUAGAUACCCUGGUAGUCCACACGGUAAACGAUGAAUACUCGCUGUAGGCGAUAUACAGUCUGCGGCCAAGCGAAAGCAUUAAGUAUUCCACCUGGGGAGUACGCCGGCAACGGUGAAACUCAAAGGAAUUGACGGGGGCCCGCACAAGCGGAGGAACAUGUGGUUUAAUUCGAUGAUACGCGAGGAACCUUACCCGGGCUUAAAUUGCAACCGAAUAUGGCGGAAACGCUAUAGCUAGCAAUAGCGGUUGUGAAGGUGCUGCAUGGUUGUCGUCAGCUCGUGCCGUGAGGUGUCGGCUUAAGUGCCAUAACGAGCGCAACCCUUGCCGAUAGUUACUAACAGGUUAUGCUGAGGACUCUGUCGGGACUGCCAUCGUAAGAUGUGAGGAAGGUGGGGAUGACGUCAAAUCAGCACGGCCCUUACGUCCGGGGCUACACACGUGUUACAAUGGGGGGUACAGAGGGCUGCUACCACGCAAGUGGAUGCCAAUCCCAAAAACCUCUCUCAGUUCGGAUUGAAGUCUGCAACCCGACUUCAUGAAGCUGGAUUCGCUAGUAAUCGCGCAUCAGCCACGGCGCGGUGAAUACGUUCCCGGGCCUUGUACACACCGC
RNAcentral lists this ribosomal RNA (1056 nucleotides) under uncultured bacterium. Its description in RNAcentral is "bacterial SSU rRNA". It matches the Rfam family "Bacterial small subunit ribosomal RNA", at positions 336 to 1393 of the family's 1533-position model. The record is from RNAcentral.